AGGGCAAUUGCUGGGUCAUGGUUAAGUUUGUUUAGUUUUUUAAGAAACUGCCAAAACUAUUUUCCAGAGUGGCCGUGCCAUUUUACAUUCUCACCAGCAAU
This 101-nucleotide microRNA precursor is filed under the name Marmota monax (woodchuck). Lineage: Eukaryota; Metazoa; Chordata; Mammalia; Rodentia; Sciuridae. The record is from RNAcentral.